Molecule: unclassified non-coding RNA, 393 nt
Filed under: uncultured fungus
Lineage: Eukaryota; Fungi
Description: partial contains 5.8S ribosomal RNA and internal transcribed spacer 2
Rfam family: 5.8S ribosomal RNA (bases 1-133)
Source: RNAcentral
UGGUUCUCGCAUCGAUGAAGAACGCAGCGAAAUGCGAUAAGUAAUGUGAAUUGCAGAAUUCAGUGAAUCAUCGAAUCUUUGAACGCACCUUGCACCUUUUGGCAUUCCGAAAGGUACAUCUGUUUGAGUGUCAUGUAUACCUCAACCUCUACAUUUUCUUGUUAAAGUGUAGUAGCGUUGGAUGCUGAGCGUUGCUGUUUGCCUUUCGAGCACAGCUCGCUUCAAAUGCAUAAGCAAUCUUUGUACUCCUCGGAUUGACUUGACGUGAUAAGAUCUUCGUCGAGGAUGCUUUCAAUAGCAGCCGGAUUGUACACUAGUCGCUUCUAAACCGAGUCGCCCUAGUGCGAUGCUCCUUUUAAUUUAGACCUCAAAUCAGAUGGGACUACCCGCUGA